This is a long non-coding RNA of Silurus meridionalis, 381 nucleotides long. RefSeq lists it as uncharacterized. NCBI's taxonomy places the organism in Eukaryota, Metazoa, Chordata, Actinopteri, Siluriformes, Siluridae. The transcript is spliced from 3 exons. The record is from RefSeq and is a predicted model, not a curated record.
CAGAACCAGACGCGAAUCACCUCCUUCUCCAUGUUGAGCUGCUCAGCGAUGAGUAGAAUCUCCUCUGAGUAAAGCGUAACUAAAUGCUGCCCAGAUGUUACUCAGAUGUUCCGCUUACCGUGCUAAAACUGCGCUCCAAAGCCACACGAACAUUCGUCUCUAUGCUGGUGCGUUUCUUGCGGCGGCGGGCAGUCAGGCCCUCAUAGGCCAGAGAUGGUGAGGACAGAGAGCUGGGACUUGGCAAGGUGCGAGCAAACUGUUCGAGCUCUUCCAGGUCACUUGGCUCCUCGCUGUGAGAAGUCACAGGGUUCACCGUACUCACACUGCUUUCCAUGACCUUUUCUCUCUGCUGGAAAAAUAUGGAUGCAAUGAAUCUAACAA